AACAUUACUAUUUGUUUUAAUAUUUUCCAAUAAAAACAACUACUGUUUUAGUGACUGAUAUUUUAUUUCCUUUAAUAUUUAGGCAAGAAUUCCAUAGAAUAGCAAUAAAAAGGACAAGGCAACGGAGGACAUCUCCACACUGAGGGAAGGAAGCAGUGGCAAGGUCUUAGGAUAUGAGGCUGCCUUAUCAAGAAAUAUUUGAAUUGCUUCUGAGG
This 215-nucleotide long non-coding RNA is filed under the name Chrysemys picta bellii (western painted turtle). Its description in RNAcentral is "lncRNA (ENSCPBG00000010789.1)". Lineage: Eukaryota; Metazoa; Chordata; Testudines; Emydidae. The record is from RNAcentral.